AGCUGAUCAAGGAGAGAAGAUAAGGCAUGGAUAUUCAGUUUAAAAUGGUAGAGAACCAUAAUAAUACCUACCUUGAAGUGAUGAUAUAAACUACAUGACACAGAGUACUUGCUUCACACAGUGUUGGAACACACAGAGCUGCCACCUGGAAAUCCCUGCUCAUCUAAGGGUUGCAUCUAGACUCUGUAAUGUAGAACAGGAGUCAGAAAUGGCUUUCACAUGAAAAAAUCAACAACAACAAAGCCUCACAAAAAACAAACAAAAAAGAAAUGGCUUUCGCUAAGCUGAAAUCAAGGUAUCAGUAGUGUAUUUUGAGAAUUGCAAUGAGAAGAAAAGAUGAAAAAUGCAAUUUUAAGAAAGUUUCUACAAACUCGAGUUAAUGCAUAUAGGACUGGUUUUGAUCUGAGGAGAUCUGCUUCAAUUCUUAGUGAAGGUCAAAAUUGCUACUGGUUGUCUGCUAGUCCAUUGUCUUAAACACUGAGGGAAGAGUUUCCCAUGCUUACACAGAUAAGUCAGCUUUGCAAAAUAAAUCAUACUAUCAGCUAAAUAAGCCAAUUAAAGCAGGAAUAAUGUGAUUAAAAGCAAAUCACCCAAACACUUAAAAUAUCUUAAAAAUCCAAUAUUUAUUCUCCAAUAAGGGAAAGUAUUCAGACUUAAUGCAUAGAAAUGGAGAUGUGCUAGCUAUGCAG
Molecule: long non-coding RNA, 689 nt
Organism: Homo sapiens (human)
Lineage: Eukaryota; Metazoa; Chordata; Mammalia; Primates; Hominidae
Source: Ensembl